GACGAACGCUGGCGGCGUGCUUAACACAUGCAAGUCGAACGGAAAGGCCCUGCUUUUGUGGGGUGCUCGAGUGGCGAACGGGUGAGUAACACGUGAGUAACCUGCCCUUGACUUUGGGAUAACUUCAGGAAACUGGGGCUCAUACCGGAUAGGAGCUCCUGCUGCAUGGUGGGGGUUGGUAAGUUUCGGCGGUUGGGGAUGGACUCGUGGCUUAUCAGCUUGUUGGUGGGGUAGUGGCUUACCAAGGCGUUGACGGGUAGCCGGCCUGAGAGGGUGACCGGCCACAUUGGGACUGAGAUACGGCCCAGACUCCUACGGGAGGCAGCAGUGGGGAAUAGUGCACGAUGGGCGGAAGCCGGAUGCAGCAACGCCGCGUGCGAGAUGACGGCCUUCGGGUUGUAAACCGCUUGCGCCUGUGACGAAGCGUGAGUGACGGUAAUGGGUAAAGAAGCACCGGCUAACUACGUG
RNAcentral lists this ribosomal RNA (468 nucleotides) under uncultured bacterium. Its description in RNAcentral is "partial 16S ribosomal RNA". It matches the Rfam family "Bacterial small subunit ribosomal RNA", at positions 28 to 507 of the family's 1533-position model. The record is from RNAcentral.